CUACGGGUCGCUGCAGUGGGGAAUAUUGGACAAUGGGGGAAACCCUGAUCCAGCAAUGCCGCGUGUGUGAAGAAGGCCUGCGGGUUGUAAAGCACUUUCGGUUGGGAGGACUGCUUCUAGCACUAAUAUUGUUGGAAGUUGACGUUACCUUCAGAAGAAGCACCGGCUAACUCCGUGCCAGCAGCCGCGGUAAUACGGAGGGUGCAGCGUUAAUCGGAAUUACUGGGCGUAAAGCGCGCGUAGGCGGCUAGAUCAGUCGGGUGUGAAAGCCCCGGGCUUAACCUGGGAACUGCAUCCGAUACUGUCUAGCUUGAGUACAGGAGAGGAGAGUGGAAUUCCACAUGUAGUGGUGAAAUGCGUAGAUAUGUGGAGGGACACCAAUGGCGAAGGCAGCUCUCUGGCCUGAUACUGACGCUGAGGUGCGAAAGCGUGGGGAGCAAACAGGAUUAGAUACCCCUAGUAGUC
This 465-nucleotide ribosomal RNA is filed under the name uncultured bacterium. RNAcentral's name for it is "partial 16S ribosomal RNA". It matches the Rfam family "Bacterial small subunit ribosomal RNA", at positions 339 to 795 of the family's 1533-position model. The record is from RNAcentral.